UGUGUGAAUUAGACCUUUCUUAGUAUCAUGCAACCAAAAUGAUGGAAACACGCUGGUUAUGGAGUGCCUGGUUUUGGAAGCAGCGCUGGGUGUCCCAGGUGUAAAGGAAUAGAGCAUCAUGAAAGUGCUUACCAGGAGUGCAGAGAUAACCGGGUUACCUGGCACAGAGGUAACUGGGUUUCCCCAGGACCAGGUGCCAGGUGGCUGCAGGCAGUGAGGAAGCACAGACAGACCAGCAGAGUGGCCAGGAGCAGACGGGUGAUGUCCAUCCUAGGAGGCAUGAGUGGGACAGGGAAGUUCAGUGCCCACAGCUCUGAAGUUAGAAGUAGCCACUGUCAAGAAGAAUCCGUCUCUGCUGCCAUGGCUGACUUUACUCAGGUUUUUCUUCCCGGAAGCAGGGACUCAGGUGUGAGGUGAAGCGGAUGUCAAGUGCUGCUGCAGCUUGGGAAGGUCUGAUAUUCCACUUUCUAGUCCCACAGCAGGAAUUAACCCCAGAAAAGCCAGAGCUGCUGGAGAGGAGUUUUUAUGAGUUAUCUAAGGAUAUUAUUGUUAUCUAUAUAGCACAAUAAAGUUGCCAAACCAUCCAGGC
Molecule: long non-coding RNA, 589 nt
Organism: Talpa occidentalis (Iberian mole)
Lineage: Eukaryota; Metazoa; Chordata; Mammalia; Eulipotyphla; Talpidae
Exons: 4
Source: RefSeq, a predicted model, not a curated record